CAAGUCGAACGAGAUUAUCCAGCUUGCUGGAUAUGAAAGUGGCGCACGGGUGCGUAACGCGUGAGCAACCUACCUCUGUCAGGGGGAUAGCCCGGCGAAAGUCGGAUUAACACCGCAUGACAUUAUUGAUGUGGCAUCACAUUAUAAUCAAAUAUUUAUAGGACAGAGAUGGGCUCGCGUGACAUUAGCUAGUUGGAGAGGUAACGGCUCACCAAGGCAACGAUGUCUAGGGGCUCUGAGAGGAGAAUCCCCCACACUGGUACUGAGACACGGACCAGACUCCUACGGGAGGCAGCAGUAAGGAAUAUUGGUCAAUGGAGGGAACUCUGAACCAGCCAUGCCGCGUGCAGGAUGACUGCCCUAUGGGUUGUAAACUGCUUUUGUCGGGGAAUAAACCUACGUUUGUAAACGUAGCUGAAUGUACCCGAAGAAUAAGGAUCGGCUAACUCCGUGCCAGCAGCCGCGGUAAUACGGAGGAUCCAAGCGUUAUCCGGAUUUAUUGGGUUUAAAGGGUGCGUAGGCGGUUCUUUAAGUCAGAGGUGAAAGACGGCAGCUUAACUGUCGCAGUGCCUUUGAUACUGAAGAACUUGAAUUAGGUUGAGGAAUGCGGAAUGAGACAAGUAGCGGUGAAAUGCAUAGAUAUGUCUCAGAACCCCGAUUGCGAAAGGGCAGCAUUUCCAAAGCCUUUUUUUGGACCCUGAUGCCACGAAAAGGCUGGGGGAAUUUAAAAAAGGG
This 735-nucleotide ribosomal RNA is filed under the name Sphingobacterium spiritivorum. RNAcentral's name for it is "bacterial SSU rRNA". It matches the Rfam family "Bacterial small subunit ribosomal RNA", at positions 58 to 776 of the family's 1533-position model. Lineage: Bacteria; Pseudomonadati; Bacteroidota; Sphingobacteriia; Sphingobacteriales; Sphingobacteriaceae. The record is from RNAcentral.